UGUUGAUGAUAAUAUUUUAUUAUCAAUAUAGAAGAUUAUUGAAAUGUUGUAAAUCAUGAUGAUUAGGAAUUGAUAAUGAUUGUCAAAGAAGUAGGGAUAGUUGAAAAUAUAAUAUCGAUGUUGAUGAUAAUAUUUUAUAAGCAAUAUAGAAUAUUUUUGGAAUGUUAUUGAUUCUUAUGAUGACGUGAUAAUGAUUAUCAAAGAAAUAAGGAUAGUUGAAAAUACAUUAUUGGUGUUGAUGAUAAUAUUUUAUUAUCAAUAUAGAAGAUUAUUGAAAUGUUGUUGAUUUUAAUGAUGAGGAGGGGGUAAUUAUUAUAAAAGAUAUAGGGAUUGUUCAAAAUUUAUUAUUGGUUUUGAUGAUAAUAUUCUUAUAUCUAUAUAAAACCUUAUUGAAAUUUUGUUGAUUUGAUUAGGAAGUUAUUAUUGUCAGAGAAAUAGGGAAAGUUCAAAAACAUUAUAUUAUCAGUGUUGAUGAUAAUAUUUUAUUAUCAAUAUAAAAAAUUAUUGAAAUGUUCUAGAUUAUAAUAUUGAGGUGAUAGUGAUUGCAAAGAAAUUUGGAUAGUUGCAAAUAUAUAAUCCGUGUUGAUGAUAAUAUUUUAUUAACAAUAUAGAAGAUUAUUGAAAUGUUGUAGAUUAUAAUGAGGAGGGGAUAAUGAUUGUCAAAGAAAUAGGGAUAGUUGAAAAUAUAUAAUCUGUGUUGAUGAUAAUAUUUUAUUAACAAUAUAGAAGAUUAUUGAAAUGUUUAGGAAAUAGAUAUCAAUUCUGAGUGCAUUGUUGUAGAAUAAUGCACGGUUUGAGUUCAAAUGCGUAGAAAUAUAAUCACGAAGGCCGAUAGACCUGAGUGAUUAAUUACAAAGCAUUUGAACGAAAAACGUGCAUUAUUAAACAAUAAUGCACGAAGAAUUAAUAUCUAUUUCCAUUCUAACACAUCAAGAAAAAAUGUAAUUAUUAUUAUAAAGUUGGACUUUAUGUUUAGUGGUUAAAUUUGUUUUCGCCUCAGAGUUUCCAAUAGAAACGUUCUUUAAAGGCUGUUCCAGUGGGUUGAUAAAAUCUGUCGUUAAAUGUACCGUGUGUAGAAACAUUUUGAGAAUAACGAAUUUUGAAAACGUUGAUAAAACUUUGUUUGUUAAUUUUAUUUCACUCUACAAUUUUUCAAGGGAAAUACAAAUUAUUAAAAGUGAAAUAAAUGUAAAACUUAAAUCGUUUGUGACAUUAAAAUAGCGUACUUGAUUUGAUUGUUUUGCACGUGUUGUUUGGCGCUACCUUGUGACGUCACGUAAACAACACUUUAAACGCCUGUACAUCGUUAACGACUGAAUUAAAGAUAUUGGUGAUCGGAUUCAUUUUCUUAGUUAGACCAUUUGCUUUCAUUCUAGAUAGCUUUCACAACAAAAUUCUACAAAAAAUGUUUUUAUUUAUCAGAUUUUUUUAACAAAAUGGCACCCUCAAUGUGAAAAUACACAGGGAGGUAAUAAGAACGGCGAGUGCAUUGUUGUAGUAUAAUGCACGCUUCGGGCCUUCUUUGCUUAUAUAGAAAAAAAUCCGAUAGUGUUAGAAUGUUGAAAUAAUUAUUAUCAGUGUUGAUGAUAAUAUUUUAUUAUCAAUAUAGAAGAUUAUUGAAAUGAUGUAAAUCAUGAUGAUUAGGAAUUGAUAAUGAUUGUCAAAGAAAUAGGGGUAGUUGAAAAUAAUAAUAAUUGGUGUUGAUGAUAAUAUUUUUAUUAUCAGUAAAGUAGAUUAUUGAAAUGUUGUUGAUUAAGGUGAUGAGGAGGAGAUAAUGAUUGUCAUAGAAAAAGGGAUAGUUGAAAAUAUAUUAUUGUUGUUGAUGAUAAUAUUUUGUUAUCAAUAUAGAAGAUUAUUGAAAUGUUGUAGAUUAAAAUAUUGAGGUGAUAAUGAUUGUCAAAGAAAUUGGGAUAGUUGAAAAUGUAUUAUCAGUGUUGAUGCUAAUAUCAUAUUAACAAUAUACAAGAUUAUUGAAAUGUUGUUGAUUUUAAUAGGGAGGAGGAAAUAAUUAUUGUCAAACAAAUAGCGAUAGUUGAAACUAUAAUAUCGGUGUUGAUGAUAAUAUUUUAUUAGCAAUAUAGAAAAUUACUGGAAUGUUGUUGAUUAUGGUGAUGAAGAGGGGAUAAUGAUUGUCAAAGAAAUAGGGAUAGUUGAAACUAUAUUAUUGGUGUUGAUGAUAAUAUUUUAUUAUCAAUAUAGCAGAUUAUUGAAAUGUUGUAAAUUAUAAUUUUGAGGUGAUAUGAUUGUCAAAGAAAUUCGGAUAGUUGCAAAAUGUAUUAUCGGUGUUGAUGAUAAUAUUAUAUUAACAAUAUAGAAGAUUAUUGAAAUGUUGUUGAUUUUAAUAGGGAGGAGGAAAUAAUUAUUGUCAAACAAAUAGCGAUAGUUGAAACUAUAAUAUCGGUGUUGAUGAUAAUAUUUUAUUAGCAAUAUAGAAAAUUACUGGAAUGUUGUUGAUUAUGGUGAUGAAGAGGGGAUAAUGAUUGUCAAAGAAAUAGGGAUAGUUGAAACUAUAUUAUUGGUGUUGAUGAUAAUAUUUUAUUAUCAAUAUAGCAGAUUAUUGAAAUGUUGUAAAUUAUAAUUUUGAGGUGAUAUGAUUGUCAAAGAAAUUCGGAUAGUUGCAAAAUGUAUUAUCGGUGUUGAUGAUAAUAUUAUAUUAACAAUAUAGAAGAUUAUUGAAAUGUUGUUGAUUUUAAUAGGGAGGAGGAAAUAAUUAUUGUCAAACAAAUAGCGAUAGUUGAAACUAUAAUAUCGGUGUUGAUGAUAAUAUUUUAUUAGCAAUAUAGAAAAUUACUGGAAUGUUGUUGAUUAUGGUGAUGAAGAGGGGAUAAUGAUUGUCAAAGAAAUAGGGAUAGUUGAAACUAUAUUAUUGGUGUUGAUGAUAAUAUUUUAUUAUCAAUGUAGCAGAUUAUUGAAAUGUCGUAAAUUAUAAUUUUGAGGUGAUAUGAUUGUCAAAGAAAUUCGGAUAGUUGCAAAAUGUAUUAUCGGUGUUGAUGAAGAUAUUAUAUUAACAAUAUAGAAGAUUAUUGAAAUGUUUUUGAUUAUGGUAAUAUAAUACAGAGUAGUGGCAACAUAUAGGGAUCACUUCUCCGUCGUCUGUCUGUCCAUCCGUCUGUCCGUCCGUCACAAAACUUGUCCGGACUACUCCUCAUAAACUACUGGUGCAAUUUCAUCCAAACUUUACAGAAAUGAUUAGUACCAAGUCUUGUUGUGCAUAUUGUCAGCAUUUUCCGGUUCAAUGAUUUUUGUCAGAGUUAUGGCCCUUUAAUCAUUUUUAUUUUUAAAGUUUGUCCGGACUACUUCUCUUAUACCACUAAUGCAAUUUCAAUAAAACUUUACAGGAUUGAUCUGUAGCUCAAGUCCUUGCGCAUAUUGCACGGGUUUUCCAGGUGAAUGAUAUUUGGCCGAGUAAUUGCCCUUUGAUAAAAAGGUGUUUUUUUCUGUGUGUUGCCAGAUACACAAAAGCUUGUCCGGACUACUCCUCAUAAACUACUGGUGCAAUUUCAUCCAAACUUUACAGGAAUGAUCAGUACCAAGUCUAGUUGUGCAUAUUGUCAGCAUUUUCCGGUUCAAUGAUUUUUGUCAGAGUUAUGGCCCUUUAAUAAGUACCAAGUCUAGUUGUGCACUGUCCGUCUGUCUGUCACAAAACUUGUCCCAACAUAAAAUUGGCCAUCAUGAGGCGACACAUGUGAUCACUGAUCGCUCUUGUUUAUGAAUAAUUAUAUAAGUUUUAAUCAUAUUUAUGAUAAAUGAGAUUCAGGGUUGUGGCAAAAAAAGGGCUUCAAAUGAAGUCAUUAGUCUUACUAAAUUAAGAAACCCUGCAAUGCGGGACACAUUGACAAGUGCAGGUACAUUUAAAAUCUAAAGAAAUAUUAUAACCAAAAUUUUGCCUGAUGCACUGUUGUAAAGCUUGAAUUGUAUUAUUGUUCUGUAUGAAGAUUUUGAGUAACAUGAUUAUUCAACAUAUUUGUAGAUAAAACCUGACGACUGUCCACAAGAAUUUUAAUAGACUUGUUACUAUAAACAAUUUAACUAUGAUUUCAACUUAUUUUCAAUGGCAUGUUACCAAUUAUGAGUUUGCAGCCAUGAGUGGACUGAAGUCAUAAUCAUUAUUGGCCCACUGAAGGUGAGCAGAACUUAAGCAAAUGCAAAAAUGUCAAAUAUGACAUCAUAAUUGACAUUAUCAAAGAAUUAAAAUUUUAUUUUUAAUACAGUUGACUAGGAUUUUGUGAUUUUAACUAAUGUGAUAACACAUAGAUUUACUGAAAACCCUAAAUGAAACAAACAAAAAACACAAAAUGGAUUUGAAUUACUGGAGUCUAUGCAUCUCUUAGCUCCUGUAAGUGAGUUGCUCUUUUUUAUCCUAUGUGUUCCUUUUGUAACAACUGAGGUUACUACUCAAUGUUAGCCAAAAUCAUCUUUCCAGUUUCAGUGCCUUAUAACCUAUAUUGUGUUGGUGCUGACGUAACGUGAUUAUCAUGGCACCAUCCAAACAUCUGUGUAAUAAUCACACACAUGGUAAUAUUUCCAGACUUGCAAUAAUUAUGUGACAGGGAAUUAAUUAAAAUCUCUAAAAUUUUACAUGCACUGUUCCAAAUUCACCAGGUUAUUUUAUUGUUACAGAUGCUGUUGAGGUAGUUUUGGCAAUACCUGGAAAAAUGCUUCAGAAGAUUGCUGGAGGUCUUUUCUUGUUACCAUGAAAAAGGAAUGGUGAGAAACACGGAAACAUUAGUGAAGACACUACAAAAUGGGAUAAAAACGGAAUGUCCAGUCACUUGAAGCUGUCAUACAGAAUUACUGACAAAACAAAAAGAAAUUGAUCUUGUACCCUAUAAAUACAUGUAUAUAAGAAAUUGAUAGAUGAACUUUGGAACACUUGAUUAUGAUAAAUCUGAUAAUGUGAUAUAAUAGAUUUUAUGAUAAUUAUGAAAUACAAGUAAAAUUAAUAAAAAUAAA
Long non-coding RNA from Ruditapes philippinarum (Manila clam), 4953 nucleotides. RefSeq lists it as uncharacterized. Lineage: Eukaryota; Metazoa; Mollusca; Bivalvia; Venerida; Veneridae. The transcript has 2 exons. The record is from RefSeq and is a predicted model, not a curated record.